RNAcentral lists this ribosomal RNA (301 nucleotides) under uncultured bacterium. RNAcentral's name for it is "partial 16S ribosomal RNA". It matches the Rfam family "Bacterial small subunit ribosomal RNA", at positions 509 to 808 of the family's 1533-position model. The record is from RNAcentral.
CAGUAGCCGCGGUAAUACGUAGGUCCCGAGCGUUGUCCGGAUUUAUUGGGCGUAAAGCGAGCGCAGGCGGUUUGAUAAGUCUGAAGUUAAAGGCUGUGGCUCAACCAUAGUUCGCUUUGGAAACUGUCAAACUUGAGUGCAGAAGGGGAGAGUGGAAUUCCAUGUGUAGCGGUGAAAUGCGUAGAUAUAUGGAGGAACACCGGUGGCGAAAGCGGCUCUCUGGUCUGUAACUGACGCUGAGGCUCGAAAGCGUGGGGAGCGAACAGGAUUAGAUACCCCCGUAGUCCCUGUCUCUUAUACA